CCCUUAAGGUUCCUGAUUCCCUUUACUCACUUUUGUUUUAAUCAUCGCGACGAGUUUUUCUUUUUAAUACUUUCGCCAGCUACGUGGAAUGUAAUUUAUUCCCCUCAACCUGCCGCCGCCCUCAAUCUUGUUUUGGAGGAGUCUCGCAGCCGUGCCGCGAAGAGCCCUUCUCGCGGUAUUUCUUUAUUCCCGGAAUCCUUUGCGGGACACGGCGGGGAGGAAGGGAAACACAGGAGAGAAGUUACUUGUUCAGUUUAGCUUCGGAAUCCUGCAGUCAAAACCAGUCUUCCCUAGGUCUUUCUGUUGCUUCAUCUGCAAGGAAAAUGACGACCCUGGAGCAGCCGCUGCCGCUAUCAAGAGGAUGCCCGAGCUCCACUUCACUUUCCCCGCCCCGAGGAGACCGGACCCUUCUAAUCAGACAUCUGCCGGCCGAGCUGAGCGCAGAGGAGAAAGAGGACUUGCUGAAAUACUUCGGGGCACAGUCUGUACGCGUCCUGUCAGACAAGGGGCGACUGAAACAUACAGCUUUUGCUACUUUCCCCAGUGAAAAAGCGGCAAUAAAGGCAUUGACAAGACUUCAUCAGCUGAAACUUUUAGGUCAUACUUUAGUUGUCGAAUUUGCAAAAGAGCAAGAUCGAGUUCAUUCCCCAUGUCCCACUUCAGGCUCUGAAAAAAAGAAAAAGUCUGAUGACUCUGUGGAAGAUGAUAAAGAAAAAAAAGAAUUUGGUUGUUUAACGGUAGAAAAUGGAAUCGCACCAAACCAUGGGCUGACUUUUCCUCUCAAUUCAUGCCUCAAGUAUAUGUACCCACCACCUUCAAGCACAAUCCUAGCAAAUAUAGUAAAUGCUUUGGCAAGUGUGCCUAAGUUCUAUGUACAGGUGCUUCAUCUUAUGAAUAAAAUGAAUUUGCCCACACCUUUUGGACCAGUUACUGCACCGCCUCCCUUGUAUGAAGACUAUUUGCCACUGCAUGCACCUCUUCCCCCUACAUCUCCUCAGCCACCUGAGGAACCUCCUUUGCCAGAUGAAGAUGAGGAACUGUCUAGUAAAGAAUCAGAAUAUGAAAGCAGUGAUGAGGAGGAUCGACAGAGAAUGACCAAACUUAUGGAACUAGCAAACCUUCAACCCAAAAGACCAAAGAUGACAAAGCAGCGUCAUGUGAGAAAAAAGCAAAAAAUAAAGGAUAUGUUAAAUCUGUCUUCAUCUGUUUCACACAGCAAUUUGCAUCCUGUGCUAUUACCUUCAGAUGUGUUUGACCAGCCACAACCUGUAGGCAAUAAAAGAAUUGAAUUCCACAUAUCUACUGACAUGCCAAAUGUAUUUAAUAAAGAUUUACAGAAAGAAAAAAAUUAUGAGGAAAAAAAUUCUGAUUUACCUGCUGUUGAAGUUGAAGCAUCCAGUAUAGGAUUUGGAAAAAUCUUUCCCAAACCUAAUUUGAAUGUCACAGAAGAGAUUAAAGAAGACUCUGAUGAAAUGCCUUCAGAAUGUAUUUCUAGAAGGGAACUGGAAAAAGGCAGAAUUUCUAGAGAAGAAAUGGAAACACUUUCAGUUUUCAGAAGUUAUGAACCUGGUGAACCCAACUGUAGAAUUUAUGUAAAGAAUUUAGCCAAGCAUGUUCAAGAAAAAGACCUUAAAUUCAUUUUUGGGCGAUACGUUGACUUCUCAUCAGAAACACAACGGAUCAUGUUCGAUAUACGCUUGAUGAAAGAAGGUCGCAUGAAAGGACAAGCUUUCAUAGGACUUCCAAAUGAAAAAGCAGCUGCAAAAGCCUUGAAGGAAGCUAAUGGAUAUGUUCUUUUUGGAAAACCCAUGGUGGUUCAAUUUGCCCGAUCUGCCAGGCCAAAGCAAGAUUCUAAAGAAGGAAAAAGAAAGUGUUAAGAAGCAUUCCUGCGUACAUACUGCUGUAAUACUGUCAUGCAAAAAUGUAUCCUUUCUUGUUGUAUCCUUUUUGGGGCAGUGUUUUUUGUUUUGUUUUUUAUUUUGUUGUUUUUUGUUUACUAGAAAUGUUUUGUCCCUAUUUCUAUCCCUUGGUUUAGGCUAAACAGCAUUUUUUUAUACUUUAUGCAAAUGAAAUGUUUCUAAAAUUCUAUAGCUUGAAAAAUUUAUAUGUUUUCUUAUAUUUGUUGUUGAAUUUUCUUUGCAUUUAGGUUAUAGUUUUUCCACAGAAAGUUAGUGAAUCAGGUCAACUACUUAGAGAAUAUGUAUGCAUUUGCUUUAACACAGAAUGUUGUCUUAUUUCUCUUUGUGUAUUUUGGUAAAUUUAAAUAACAUCUGGUUUCUCUCUUAAGAUAUAUCUGGUCUAUAUAUUCUACAUAAAAUUUGAGUGUGGAAACAAAUUAUUUUCUUUAAAAAAGAACUUGUGCUAAAAAUUAAAAUAACUUGAUAUAUAAAUCCCAAAUUAAGUAGCAGAUCUCACAUUUGAUAUUUCCAUUAACUUAGAUAGCAAAUAGAACUUUUUAACAGAAAGCAGAAAAGGGUAAGAAGAGAGAGUAACAAGAUAGAAGAUACAGUGUUAAAGUAAGGUAGCUCAAUGAUGAAAAACAAAAUGAUCCUAGUAAGAAUGUAAAAAUAGUAAUUCCCAGGCUGAUUAACCAGAAGUACCCUUAACUGUACUUCUCGAACUUGGCUGCACAUUGGAGUGGCCUGGGAACUUUGAAAAAUAAUAAAUAAAAAUUAAAAAUAUUUUAAUGUUAGGUUCCUUCCCCAGAGAGUAGGUACUAUAUUAUAAUUUUGGAAUGUAGCUUGGGUUUUAGAAAUUUUCACGAUUUUCUAAGUGAGUCUAAUGUGCAGUCAAAGUAGAGAACCACCAGUGAAGUGUUUUUAUUUCUGAAGAUUCCUAGACCAAUCGUAAAAAUAAUAAAUUGCAAUUUCUGGGAAUAGGGUCUAAGAAUCUAAUUUGAAAAGUUUCUUUAGUAAUAUAAGGAUACUGUUUAUUUGAAGUAAAAUGGUUGGAAUAACCCUAAUCACCUAUAACUAAAAAAAACCUUCCAGAUACAGAAAUUGCAAAUUUUUGAUAAGUACAAUUAUAAUCUUUUACUCAUUCAUGUUAUAUAUUAGUUCCCAUAUAAAGUAUUUUUGUAAUUAAAUUUAUGCUGACAUGAUUCACUGAUUUUCUAAAUAUAAUUAUUUUAGCUGUAAUUAUUUUCAGACUCCUAAAAUGUUAUAAUAAUGAUUAUUUUUAAUGAGUUUUUAUGGUAUUUUAGGUUCCUCUUGAAUUUCGAGUCUUUCAAGUUUUUGCCAACUUUGAGAAGAAAUUGACUACCUGGACUAUGGAACUUGUGGAAAAGAACAUUAAAGGACAUCACAGCCUCAUCCUCGAGGAUGAAUCCCAGCAGACAGUGCAGCAUCCCUUGGCUUGGCUCAUGCUUAUCAGUAGGAAUUACAGGAUAUAGAGAAUAAAAUCUUUUAGAGGGAAAUGAGAGAGACCACCAUGGAGACAAAGAAAUAUAAACAAUUGGUAGAAAGAACCCUGACAGCCUCACAGCAAAA
Molecule: RNA transcript, 3488 nt
Organism: Cavia porcellus (domestic guinea pig)
Lineage: Eukaryota; Metazoa; Chordata; Mammalia; Rodentia; Caviidae
Gene: Rnpc3
Gene name: RNA binding region (RNP1, RRM) containing 3
Exons: 19
Source: RefSeq, a predicted model, not a curated record